UUGAAAGUUAGUUGAAAAUAGACCGUCUCUGGUUAAAUUAGUUCUACACCAAGCCUUUAGGUGGCAGUAAAACGAAUUGGCACAAUGCGAAUUCCACACACAAGCCACAAAGAAGCCAUCAGCCGCGGUCAACAGCACCUUCCUGAUUGAACAGAACCACGCGUUGUCUGUGUGGUUUACAAGUUUCUUGGCGAUAUGGGGGGAAAGUUCCUCACAUACCAACGGAAAAUGGGCUUCAUAUACAUGCUGCUGUCUCAUAAUAUGGCGAAGACGAGUCACCUGAAGGCCUAACUCGCCAUAGAAGACUGAAAGAAUUGUCCUGCAGGAUGCUGUGUCCUGCAAUCCUGUGUGCUGUGCUACAGACGCGUGUGGAGGUCAACCCAAAAUGGGCACAGUCUCACCACAGAAGAGUGAAAGAGGAUCCUGGCAGGGAGACGGUAGUGUCCUGCAGAAUGGUGAUGGGCCAAUCUUACAAGAGACCACAGAAAACUGAUAUAGUGAACUAUAGAAACAACAGUGCCUGCUGCAGUAUAACGAGGACACCCUGAGCAGAGAGCUCCAAUAGACCCAGGUCCAGUGUCUUGGCAGGGUGAAAUGGCACUGAUAUGGUGUCCUGCAGGAUGCUGUGUCCUGCAAUCCUGUGUGCUGUGCUACAGACGCGUGUGGAGGUCAACCCAAAAUGGGCACAGUCUCACCACAGAAGAGUGAAAGAGGCUCCCAGAAGUGAGACUGAGUGCCUGUUGCAGUAUGACGAGGACGCAGUGACCAGAGACCUUCAGUAGACCCUGCUGGCAUGAUUGGCGUCUGAAGAACAUGAAAUCAACAGCAAUGUUUAUAAUGUUGUACAUACCUGUAUAGUCUGUAUUAAAAGGCAGUACCUGUA
Engraulis encrasicolus (European anchovy) is the source of this 883-nucleotide long non-coding RNA. RefSeq lists it as uncharacterized. Lineage: Eukaryota; Metazoa; Chordata; Actinopteri; Clupeiformes; Engraulidae. The record is from RefSeq and is a predicted model, not a curated record. The transcript has 7 exons.